This 488-nucleotide ribosomal RNA is filed under the name uncultured bacterium. RNAcentral's name for it is "bacterial SSU rRNA". It matches the Rfam family "Bacterial small subunit ribosomal RNA", at positions 29 to 507 of the family's 1533-position model. The record is from RNAcentral.
AACGAACGCUGGCGGCAGGCCUAACACAUGCAAGUCGAACGGCAGCGCGGGGAGCUUGCUCCCUGGCGGCGAGUGGCGGACGGGUGAGUAACGCGUGGGAAUUUGCCCAGUAGUGGGGGACAACCCGAGGAAACUCGGGCUAAUACCGCAUACGCCCUACGGGGGAAAGCGGGGGAUCUUCGGACCUCGCGCUAUUGGAUGAGCCCGCGUCCGAUUAGCUUGUUGGUAGGGUAAUGGCCUACCAAGGCGACGAUCGGUAGCUGGUCUGAGAGGACGAUCAGCCACACUGGGACUGAGACACGGCCCAGACUCCUACGGGAGGCAGCAGUGGGGAAUAUUGGACAAUGGGCGAAAGCCUGAUCCAGCAAUGCCGCGUGUGUGAAGAAGGCCCUAGGGUUGUAAAACACUUUCAGUGGGGAAGAAAUGAGGAGCGCUAAUACCGCUCUACGAUGACGUUACCCACAGAAGAAGCACCGGCUAACUCCGUG